This 253-nucleotide ribosomal RNA is filed under the name uncultured bacterium. RNAcentral's name for it is "partial 16S ribosomal RNA". It matches the Rfam family "Bacterial small subunit ribosomal RNA", at positions 524 to 776 of the family's 1533-position model. The record is from RNAcentral.
UACGUAGGUGGCAAGCGUUAUCCGGAUUUAUUGGGCGUAAAGGGAACGCAGGCGGUCUUUUAAGUCUGAUGUGAAAGCCUUCGGCUUAACCGGAGUAGCGCAUUGGAAACUGGGAGACUUGAGUGCAGAAGAGGAGAGUGGAACUCCAUGUGUAGCGGUGAAAUGCGUAGAUAUAUGGAGGAACACCAGUGGCGAAAGCGGCUCUCUGGUCUGUAACUGACGCUGAGGUUCGAAAGCGUGGGUAGCAAACAGG